Lolium perenne is the source of this 1331-nucleotide long non-coding RNA. RefSeq lists it as uncharacterized. NCBI's taxonomy places the organism in Eukaryota, Viridiplantae, Streptophyta, Magnoliopsida, Poales, Poaceae. The record is from RefSeq and is a predicted model, not a curated record.
AAGGAGCACGCACGCGGUGGAAACCCUAGCCGCCAGCCCAUCUCUUCCCAAUCCCCAUGUCUCUCCCCUACUCCAAUCCCCACGUCAUGUCUCCCUUCUCCAAUCUCCUCCCUGCCCACUCCCCUUCUCCUCCUCCACAACCAUCUCUUGGCUGAUUCGCCGCCGCUCCAUCUUCUGGCCGAGCUGGCCGAGCCACGCGUCUUCUCCUCGCCGAGCUUGUUGAACAGCCCCGCGCAUUCUCCUCUUCCAUGCUCUACCUCGUUCUUCCCCACAGCAAGAAAAGUUCGUGUUCUAGGUCUUGGAGGAAGAAGAAGAGGUGGGAAGAGGAGGAGUAAGAGGAGGAGAAGGAAGAAGAGAAGAUCCCCACUUUUCCUGUCUGAUUCCUCCAGAUCCAGCUCUAAAGUAAAGCUAAUGCAUCAGAGAGGACGAUGGUUGCUGGUCGGGGAUAACUCAGUCUUUUUGGUUUAACGAUUCUGGAAAACUUAUUGAAGUAAGAAUUAUAAUCUCUACUACUUAAAAAGAAGGAACGUGUUCCCCCUUCUCCCCCUCCUUUCGUCGUUCUCUUUGGUCGUCCGUCUCCCAUCCCUUCGUCGCCCACCCGCCUGGGCCAGGCAUCAACAUGGGCCGACCUCAGCCCAUCGCCUCAACCGCAUCACCUCGCCCAGGUACCAACCGCAUCAGGAAUUAAAUCAUGCGACAUGAGUCACGCUACAAAGGAAAAAAAUCAAUCUCACUUAAAUGACCAGGUAUCACGCUCCAAAGGUAUGUAAUCUCACAAUAACGCUAACACAAUUAAAUCAAUUAAAUGAGAACAUGGGGCGAGAUAUAUGCAGUCACAAAGGUAUGUAAUCUCACCCAGACAUUAGGCAGGUAUCAUCUCAUGCAAAAGGUAUGUAAUCUCCGCAGUAAUCACGAAACAAAGGUAUGUAAUCUCAUCAAGGCUAGAAUGACGCAAUCUCAUUACUGUCAAUUAAAGGGGAACCUGAAUUGCACCCAGGAUGCAGUCAUAUCUCUACUACUAAAGCAGGACCUGCACGAGACAUAUCGUUUACCUGGGACGAUCUUCAAACAUCUUUAGAUGAUCGUCGCGCAUGUCGCUGCUGCAGAAAAGCCGCCGAGAUCUACCGGUACCCUGGAGGUACAAGCCAUAAUAAGAAUUUCCUUCAAGAUGUGAUAUCUUCGUGAUCUAAAGCUGUUCAUCAUCAAGGACGGUACACGCCAUCUUCAAAGGAUUGUCCACGCCCGUCCCUGCUGCAGCGCUGCCCGGCCGCCGAGAUCCACUGGUACACUGCAGGUACACGCCAUCAUUAGAUUUUUUUCUUAUAGACAUG